RNAcentral lists this long non-coding RNA (5854 nucleotides) under Nicotiana benthamiana. Its description in RNAcentral is "long non-coding RNA (NBEN_LNC007215)". The record is from RNAcentral. Lineage: Eukaryota; Viridiplantae; Streptophyta; Magnoliopsida; Solanales; Solanaceae.
AGCCGUCUCUCGUCUGUCUCAUUUUGUUUUCGCCGCAGCCCCCAAGAGUCAAGACACAAGACUCAUCACCAGUUCUCCGCCAUACGCUAGUGCCUCACCAGUAGUCUGCCAGUCACGACGGCUCACUCCCUCACUUGUCAAUCGCGUCGUGCAAGUUUUGGCUCAAGAUUUUUCUGUUUGCUUCUUGUUAAUUGUUCUGCUUGAUCAAGAUUUUUGCUUCUAAUUGUUCUGUUUGGUGUCUUCUUAGUUCUCUACUAUGCAAAAUUUCUGGUUAUAUGAGUAGCAAGAGUCAGUAGAUACUGCACAGAAGUGUUGUUAUAUGUGUUCCAUUUUAAGACUUUAAGCUAAAUCUGUAGUUAUAUGAGUAGCAAAAGUUAGUAGAUUUUGUUUUCUGUUUGCUUAGUUCAGUAGACAUUGGUUAGAUGAGUUGCAAUUUUCUACUCAUGUGAAAUUUCCGGUUCUCUACUCAUCUCUAUUCAUGUGAAAUUUCUUGGUGUCUUCUUAGUUAUUUACUUGAAUUUAUGUUUGGACUUUGGACUUGUUAAUCUUAAGGUUGCUACUACUUCGUAUUGUUAUUAAUGUUGUCAACUGUAAUUGUACUCAACUGUGUCAUAUAUAGCAGCUUUAAAAUGUUAUGGGUGUUCUCUUUCUUUUUAGGAUUAUGUGUGUUGUAGUUGUUAUAGGAGCUGUGUCGUUAUAGCAGUUGUGUGCAUGUGUUGUUAUAGCAGCUGGAUUUGGUCUAAAGUUUCUCUCUUUAGUUGAAAGUAGCUGUGCUAUUGAUUUAGUGCCUAUUAUUUCCAUUGAUUUUGCAUUGCAGAACUUAAGGAACUUUCUGCCUACUGCCUAGUUUGUCUGAACUUAAGGAUUUGGUCCGAAGCUGCUUUCACGAGAAGGUGAUUUUAAUUUUCAGCAUUCAACACUUUUAAUAUUCAGCAUUUAAUACUUUUAAUUUUAGUUUUACCUUAUCGGAUAAACCGAUAACCGAAUCGAUAAUGAUCAAUAACCAAUAAAUCGAUAAUUGAUAACCAAUAUCUUAUCUUAUCGGUUUGGUUAUCGGGUUAUGAUAUUUGUAAAUCGAAAACCGAUAAUAUUUAAAACCUAACCGAACCGACCGAUGUCCACUCCUAAGACGAAGCGGGUUGCGAGUCUAUGCGGUUGUAUAUUUUGUGAUGUUCCUUGUGCAUGUGGAUUAACAAAAAUUUUGUGUUUAAUUCGUCAAACCGACCAAAAAGGAAGGUGGAGUUUGAAUUUCUUCUGAAUUAAUAUUUUAAAGUCUUACUUUAAAUAGCUUGCUGUAAAAAGUAGUUCUCCAUGUGUUAAAUGAAUAUUAUUUUAUAUCAAGUCAUUAUAAAACACAUUUUAUACUAUUGAAAAAUAAUAAUGUUAUUUCAAAUGGUUUCUUGAUUUGGAAUUUCACGAUAGAUAAAUGAGGCCAAUAGCUUUUUAUCAAUAUAAUAAUAAUAAUAUAGAAUAAUAAGUAAUAUUGAUAAGCAUAUUUCUGUAAAAUAAUUGAAAUGCAUUUAAAGCUAUUUAUAUAUGAUAAAUUAAAAAGCAUAUUUACAUAAAAAAAACUAACGUCAAAAAUGAAAUGUAGAGAGUUAUCAUGUGUAAAUGACUAUUUUAUCAUUUGUACCGAUUAUACACAAUUUAUGCAGUUGUAUAGAUGAUUAUUUUAUCGAUAAAUGUGAAUGUUUGGAUAAUGAUGUACUGUGAUGCAAAUACAUUCAUGAGUAUUAGAAAUAGUAUUAUAGUACUUAAGAAACAAAAAAACUUUUAAUUUUUUGAUUGAUUAAAUUGAAUUUCAUCCAAAAUAUAAAAAGGAAAUAAGCAAAUAAAAUUAAAAAAAUUAUGCGGGGUGAGGCGGGUGGACGCGGGUUUGUGUGGGGGGUGUACACGGGUGAAAAUACAAUGCGGGGCGGGGAGAGGCGGGGCAGGUUGCGAUCUUCGCGGGUUUAUGCGGGUUUGCGCCACACCCGCACCGCAUUGCACCACUUGCCAUCUCUAAGCUUGCAUAUCAGGUGGUAAUGUUGUGGACUCCCGACUCCCAAGUCCCUUAGUCAACAAGUCUAGCGCAUGUUCUUUUGUUGGGACAUACACAGGUUUAAUCAAUCCUUCUUGUACCUUUUCCCUUAUAAAAUGACAAUCAAUCUCUAUAUGUUUUGUUCGCUCAUGAAACACUGGAUUGCUAGCUAUAUGCAUUGCUGCUUUGCUGUUAGUGAACAACUUAAUUGGAGUGAACAAUUCAACUCCCAUCUCUUUGAAAACUCCCAAUAACCAAAUCAAUUCAAAGGAAGUUAGUGUCAUACUCUUAUAUUCUGAUUAUGCUGAACUCCUUGCUACUGUAUCUGCUUCUUUGACUUCCAUGAAACUAAAGACUCUACAAAUUACACUAACUAACAUGUUACUGAUUUUUUUUGAGUUUGGACAACUUGCCCUGUCUGCAUCACAGUAUGCUCUCAAAGUCAUAUCACCAUCUGCACUCAUAAGAAUGCCUAAUUCUGGUUCAUCUUUUACAUAUCUUACCAAUCUAUAUGUUGCCUCUAUGUGAGACUUCUUAGGGGCUUGAAUAAACUAGCUUAAAGUCUGCACUGUAUAGGCAAUGUAAGGCCUAGUUAGUGUCAAAUAAAAAAGCUUUCCUAUAAGCCUUUAAUAUCCUUUCACAUAUGUGAGUGCUGGGUUCUUGCAGGUUGCAUUGUGUAUGGUAUUCAACUGUUGUCAUCUUCCUGUUCUGUUCCAUUGGUGUAAUUGCAGGCUUAGAUCCUGCUAAUCCCAAUUGUGCUAUAAUCUCCGCUACAUAUUUCCUUUGACAUAGUAGUAUGCCCUUUUGUGAUCUACUAACUUCAAUCCCAAAGAAAUUUUCAAAAGGCCUAAGUCCUUAAUUUUGAAGGCCUUGUGAAGUGUGGUCUUGGCUUCUUGAAUCAAGUUGCAUCAUUUCCUAUGAUAAGAAGAUCAUCAACAUAAAUAAGGAUGAUGACAAGCUUUGUAGUUUUAUUUAGAGUGAACAGAGAAUGAUCAUGUUUGCUUUGCACAAGGUCUGCCUUCAACAAUGCUUCAGUAAGUUUCAAGUUCCACUGUCUUGAUGCUUGUUUAAGCUCAUAUAAAGAUUUGUAUAGUCGACAAGCCUUGUUCCUCCCUUGACUACCAAAACCUUGUGGAAGCUGCAUGUAAACUUCCUCCUCAAGAUCACCUUGAAGCAAGGCAUUGUAAAGAUCAAUCUGAUAAAGGUUCCAUUCUUCACGAGCAAUAAAUGCCCUCACUGUGACCAUUUUAACUACCGGAGAAAAUGACUCUUGAUAGUCUAGUCCUUCUAGUUGGCUAUAACCCUUUACCACUAGCCUAGCCUUGAACAUUUCAAUCUUCAUGUUUGGUUUGUACUUGAUCUUGUAUGCCCACCAACUUGAUCUUGUACGCCCACCUACAUCCAAUAGGAUCUCCCAGGUCUUUUUCAAAAGAAGGGCAUCAACUUCUGUCUUAUAGCUUCAAUCCACCUAGGAUCCUUCAUUACUUCAAUAUAAGAUACAAGCUCCACCUCAGAUGUAGCAGCCAAGUAUGACUGAUAUUUUGCUGAAAGAGAAGUGUAAUUUUAGGUAGUUGGACAUGGGAUAGACACAGUUAGAGGAUGGACUUCCUUUCCCUGGAUAGACAUAAUCUUUUAGCCAUGUAGGUGGUCUUGGAUCUCUUAAGGAUCUCCUCAGUUGGGUUGCUGGAACAUCAGGCUCAUUGGCAGGGAAAUCAUCAUGUUGAACCUGUUCUGCAGAUACAUAUUCAUCUACUGCUGCUGGCUGAUUGUCAUAAGUUGGUUCAUAAUGCAAUGGUUCUUGCACUACAACAAAUUUGACCUAACGCUACAUUAGUUUUAGACAAUGCUCAAAAACUGUUGCCAAAAAUAUUUACGGCAACGCUUUUUAAGGAGUGAUCAUUGCUGAGAGCUUUUGGCCACAAAAUUUAGGCAAUACUUAUAAAGCGUUCCUUUUGAAUAUAAAUACUACACUUUUUAGUUUUUACUAUUGUCAUAUUAUAUGAUAUUUGACUUAAACAUCGGUAAUGAAACGCUUUUGAGUGGUGUUUUUUUUAUAACUCUAAAGCAACACGUUAUAAGGGUACUCAAAAAAUUUGCACCAUAAAUUUUCACUAAAAAUUUCAUAAUAUAUUCAUUAAAAAUUGCCCGCUAAAAUUUCACAACUUUCCCACAAAAAAAAUCAAAACCUUAAGAAAAGACUCACCACUCGCUAGCUCUCACUAAUGCCACUAUCCCUUUUUCUAUCGGGCACAAGAGUGGAAUGUAUUCCGACGAUGACUCCGAUGAUGGACUACCAAGACGACAUGUUGUCGUCGGCGUUGGCUAUUGUUGCGACUAUGAUAUGCUUCAAGGUAUUCGGUGGAGUUCAUGUCAGAUUUGCUGAGGCUUUACCUUGAGCAACUGGACCUCUUUCACCGUAAGAAACAUUACUGUCUUCGAUUUUGAUUAUGAUGCUUCGUAUCUCUUUACUCCUUUCCUGCUUUCGAUCCUUAAUCUCACAAAAAUCCUAUCCCUAAAUCUUUUUUUGUUUUUGUUUUCAAAUCUUCAUUCUGUUCUCAGAUCAAUAUUUCAAUACCUCUUUAUUUAUUCAUUUAGGGUUCAUUUGUAGAUCUCUCGAGUGUUGAAGUAGUCUUUAUAUAUUUCGAUAUUUAGAUCUGGAAUUUUGGAGUUUUGAGUUGUGGAGGUAGCUUAAAAUCGUUGCUUAAUUCAAUUUAAGUGGGUUUUCGGAUAUUGGUGUGAAAUUUGAAUGGGUUUUCAAAUUAAGACUUUUUACAAUUUGUUCCAAGCUGUUAGGUACAUGUAAUUCUUGCAAAGCCUCCAAUUCAUAUAUGUUCCUUGGAGUUUAGACAAUUUCUUAUAACAAUUUGAUAGGAUUGCUGAUCUGUGUGUGGACUUGGUAGUAGGCUUGAGUUUUGUGGGUUAUUUAGAGAGGAGAAUAUUGCAAGGUGAGAUUUGUUUUUUUUUUCCAUAAACCUCGCAACUUAUCUUCAACCCCUGAAACUUGGAAAACAUAGCAAUUGUGGUUGCGCCCUGAAUUGUUACUCGCACGCCUCUUUUUACUUCGGACAUAGGCAAAAAAUACUUACAAUAACUUAGUUGUAGACAAUUCAUACUUUUAAGAACUCAAAGGACUGUCGAAGAACUAUAAAUGCAUAUCGUAUAGAUAUUCAUGCUGAAUAUAAAAUAUUUUCUUGUGUUUAUGCACUUUGUGUUUAGCCAUAAUUUCUCACUUUGAGUAUUAUUGUUUGCAAUGCAAUUGCAAGGUGCAUCUAUCUUCACAUGGUGAAAUUUAUGCUAAGAUCUCAGGCUACUGAAGAUAACAUUACUGAUGUUUCAGUUUGAUAAUAACAUAUUCUCUUAAUCUUUCCAACCUAAUCACUAGAAAAGAGAAAAGGGAGAUUUGUGUAUUUUGCAAAAUUAUUUGUACUGUUAUCUCACUGACUUCAUAUGAAGCCAAGGCAGAAAGGUUUCCUGACUUAUAGAUUAAGAUUAGUGAAUUUUGUUAUAUAUUUUGUAUUGUGUUUAAGACCAGUUAUUGAACUUAAUCUAAUUGUGCUUAGAAAAAUGAAGCAUGUGUCCGGGAAGUAGCCAGAAUCAAGAAGCAUAUGUUAAAAGUACAGGUACUUUAUACCUUUUCUUUCUUUUAUUUUUCAGAAGUUUUUCUUUUUAUGGUGUAACCAGACCGGACCGGCCCGGUUCCAACGGUAUUUUUUUUUUAAAAUCUGACUUUGUGGGGCCCACAAUAAAGUUGGCGACGAAAAGAUUUCAUUCAGAUCCGUUGGCCAACGGAAUUAUUUGCAAAAUUGGCCAUUUUUUGUUUAUUUUCUUGUAUUU